Equus caballus (horse) is the source of this 1451-nucleotide long non-coding RNA. RefSeq lists it as uncharacterized. NCBI's taxonomy places the organism in Eukaryota, Metazoa, Chordata, Mammalia, Perissodactyla, Equidae. The record is from RefSeq and is a predicted model, not a curated record.
AGAAUCUCUGUCCAUGAGAGCCUGCUUCCUGGUUCACGGAUAGCUGUCUUCUCACCGUGUCCUCACAUGGUGAAGGGGUGAAGGAUCCCUCUGGGAGCUCUCCUUUGUAAUAACACUAAUAUUAUUCCAAAGGGCUCUACUCUCAUGACCUAAUCACCUCCCAAAGGCUCCAUCUCUAAGUACCAUCAAGCUGGGGGAAUAGAUUUCACCACAUAAAUUUGGGGAGGACAUAGACAUUUAGUCUACAGCAUGCGGGAUUCAUGAAAUCACUAAAAUUAUGUGUCAAGUGUUUGCUUAUGUUUAUUUUUUGAAGAUCCACAGCUUUCCUAAGAAUUUUGAGUACAUAAUGAAUAAAAUUGGAGAUUCUAUUGUCAGAAUCUCGUACAGUGGUUCUUAAAAUGUGAUUGGUGAAGGAGUGGGGAGUCCCCUGAGAUACUUUCGGGUGGUUCAAGAAGUGAAAUCUACUUCCGUAGUAACACUAAGAUGAUCUUUUCCCUUUUCAUUUCCAUUCACUAAUGAAUGUGCAGUAGAAUUUUCUAGAAGCUCCAAGAAGUCUUAUAUCAUAACAGAUACAUAUAGAAGCAGAUAUGAGAAUCUAAUUAUCUUCUGCUAAACCAGACGUUAAAGAUAGUUGCAAAAAUGUGAAACAAUGUCAUUCUUCUUACUAAUUUUUUCGUUCUGAAAAAUAUAGUUAUUUUUCAAAAAGCUAUUUAUAUGAACAUACAAUAAGUUUAUUAUUGUUAUUUUGAAAUUAAUAUAUGUAUCUAUUUUAAAUUUCUUGGUUUAAAUUCUAAUACGCUAAAUAUAACAGAUAAAGCCUACACAAACAAAAGCUCUUCAGAGUCCUCAAUAACUUUAUAAGUGUCAAGGACUCUUGAGAUUAAAAUGUUUGAGAAAUGCUGACCUAGUGCCUUUACUAAGGUACAUUAAUCUGUAGUAGUAAACAUAGCCUGCCUUGCUAUUAACUUUACACAAAGAGAUUUAUGCCUCUCUCACCUAAUUGUCUAAGUCGGUGUUCAUGUUAGCAGGGUAACUCUCUAACAUAUGGUAAUUCAGAGAUUCAAGCUGGUGAUGUGGCUUUGCCAUCUUCAACACUUGACUUUCAUAUUUGUCAGACAUUGACAUCCUAGUCACAUGGAAAAGGAAAGGAGCACAGAGGAAGAGCAGUAGGUAAUUGUUGCCAGAAACCCGGAAGUGUCACUUAUCAUGUUCACUCAUUGGUUCACUCAUUCCAUUCCGUUGGUUAGAACUCAGUUUCCUGGCCAACGCCAACUGCACUGAAGGCUGGGAAAUGUUACCCAGCUGUGUGUCCAGGAAGAAACAAAAGGCGAAAAGUGUCAGAGGAAAAUACAUUUUCACUUGAACUGAGCAGAUGGAAGGAAUGACUACUUAAGAGUUGGAAAAUUUGGAGGGCUUUAUCCUAAAUAAAACAUGAAUACCAUGGAAUUCAA